UCCGGCUUAUCACCGGCAGUUUCCUCAGAGUUCCCAGCUUUACCUGUUGGCAACAGAGGACGAGGGUUGCGCUCGUUGCGGGACUUAACCCAACAUCUCACGACACGAGCUGACGACAGCCAUGCAGCACCUGUGCACCUCCCACCCGAAGUGAAGGGACUCCUUUCAGAGACCCAUAGAGGGCAUGUCAAAUCCUGGUAAGGUUCUUCGCGUUGCCUCGAAUUAAACCACAUGUUCCACCGCUUGUGCGGGUCCCCGUCAAUUCCUUUGAGUUUUAAUCUUGCGACCGUACUCCCCAGGCGGGAUGCUUAACGCGUUAGCUACGCCACUGGGGGGUAACCCCCCAACGGCUAGCAUCCAUCGUUUACGGCGUGGACUAC
This 380-nucleotide unclassified non-coding RNA is filed under the name uncultured Rickettsiales bacterium. Its description in RNAcentral is "contains 16S-23S intergenic spacer region". The record is from RNAcentral. Lineage: Bacteria; Pseudomonadati; Pseudomonadota; Alphaproteobacteria; Rickettsiales.